UGGGGAAUAUUGGGCAAUGGGCGAAAGCCUGACCCAGCAACGCCGCGUGAAGGAAGAAGGCCUUCGGGUUGUAAACUUCUUUGAACAGGGACGAAAGAAAUGACGGUACCUGAAAAACAAGCCACGGCUAACUACGUGCCAGCAGCCGCGGUAAUACGUAGGUGGCGAGCGUUAUCCGGAUUUACUGGGUGUAAAGGGCGUGUAGGCGGUUUUGUAAGUCGGAUGUGAAAUUCCCAGGCUUAACUUGGGAGCUGCAUCCGAAACUACAGAACUUGAGUACUGGAGAGGAUAGUGGAAUUCCUAGUGUAGCGGUAAAAUGCGUAGAUAUUAGGAGGAACAUCGAGUGGCGAAGGCGACUAUCUGGACAGUAACUGACGCUGAUGCGCGAAAGCGUGGGGA
Molecule: ribosomal RNA, 399 nt
Filed under: uncultured bacterium
Lineage: Bacteria
Description: bacterial SSU rRNA
Rfam family: Bacterial small subunit ribosomal RNA
Source: RNAcentral